GACGAACGCUGGCGGCGUGCUUAACACAUGCAAGUCGAACGGAAAGGCGCUGCUCUUGCGGGGUGCUCGAGUGGCGAACGGGUGAGUAACACGCGAGUAACCUGCCCUUGACUUUGGGAUAACUUCAGGAAACUGGGGCUAAUACCGGAUAGGAGAUCCUGCUGCAUGGGGGGGGUUGGAAAGUUGCGGCGGUUGGGGAUGGACUAGAGGCUUAUCAGCUUGUUGGUGGGGUAGUGGCUUACCAAGGCUUUGACGGGUAGUCGGCCUGAGAGGGUGACCGGCCACAUUGGGACUGAGGUACGGCCCAGUCUCCUACGUGAGGCAACGGUGGAGAAUAUGACACAAUGGGCGGGAGCCAGAUGCAGCGGCGCCGCGUGCGGGAUGACGGCCUUCGGGUUGUAAACCGAUUUCUCCUGUGACGAAGCGUGAGUGACGGUAAUGGGUAAAGAAGCACCGGCUAACUACGUG
RNAcentral lists this ribosomal RNA (468 nucleotides) under uncultured bacterium. Its description in RNAcentral is "partial 16S ribosomal RNA". It matches the Rfam family "Bacterial small subunit ribosomal RNA", at positions 28 to 507 of the family's 1533-position model. The record is from RNAcentral.